This 494-nucleotide ribosomal RNA is filed under the name uncultured bacterium. RNAcentral describes it as "bacterial SSU rRNA". It matches the Rfam family "Bacterial small subunit ribosomal RNA", at positions 903 to 1397 of the family's 1533-position model. The record is from RNAcentral.
AAAUGAAUAGACGGGGGCCCGCACAAGCGGAGGAACAUGUGGUUUAAUUCGAUGAUACGCGAGGAACCUUACCCGGGCUUGAAAUGCAUUCGACGGGGUUGGAAACAGCCUUUCCCUUCGGGGCGGAUGCGUAGGUGCUGCAUGGUUGUCGUCAGCUCGUGCCGUGAGGUGUCGGCUUAAGUGCCAUAACGAGCGCAACCCCUGUCGUCAGUUACCAUCGGUAUAAGCCGGGGACUCUGACGAGACUGCCAUCGUAAGAUGCGAGGAAGGUGGGGAUGACGUCAAAUCAGCACGGCCCUUAUGUCCGGGGCGACACACGUGUUACAAUGGGCGGUACAGCGGGGCGCUACCCGGCGACGGGGAGCCGAUCCCGAAAUCCGCUCACAGUUCGGAUCGGAGUCUGCAACUCGACUCCGUGAAGUCGGAUUCGCUAGUAAUCGCGCAUCAGCCACGGCGCGGUGAAUACGUUCCCGGGCCUUGUACACACCGCCCGU